RNAcentral lists this ribosomal RNA (515 nucleotides) under uncultured bacterium. Its description in RNAcentral is "bacterial SSU rRNA". It matches the Rfam family "Bacterial small subunit ribosomal RNA", at positions 8 to 524 of the family's 1533-position model. The record is from RNAcentral.
AGAGUUUGAUYMUGGCUCAGGACGAACGCUGGCGGCGUGCUUAACACAUGCAAGUCGAACGGGAUUUAGUAAACAGAAGCYUCGGUGGAAGAUUACUAAUGAGAGUGGCGAACGGGUGAGUAACGCGUGAGCAACCUGCCUAUGACAGUGGGAUAGCCUCGGGAAACCGGGAUUAAUACCGCAUAAAAUCGUAGAAACACAUGUUUUAACGGUCAAAGAUUUAUCGGUCAUAGAUGGGCUCGCGUCUGAUUAGCUAGUUGGUGAGAUAACAGCCCACCAAGGCGACGAUCAGUAGCCGGUCUGAGAGGAUGAACGGCCACAUUGGAACUGAGACACGGUCCAAACUCCUACGGGAGGCAGCAGUGGGGAAUAUUGCACAAUGGGGGAAACCCUGAUGCAGCGACGCCGCGUGAACGAAGAAGGUAUUCGUAUCGUAAAGUUCUGUCCUAUGGGAAGAUAAUGACAGUACCAUAGAAGAAAGCUCCGGCUAAAUACGUGCCAGCAGCCGCGGUAAU